GAUCCUGGCUCAGGAUGAACGCUAGCUACAGGCUUAACACAUGCAAGUCGAGGGGCAGCAUUCCAGUUUGCUUGCAAACUGGAGAUGGCGACCGGCGCACGGGUGAGUAACACGUAUCCAACCUGCCGAUAACUCGGGGAUAGCCUUUCGAAAGAAAGAUUAAUACCCGAUGGCAUAAUAGAACCGCAUGGUUUGAUUAUUAAAGAAUUUCGGUUAUCGAUGGGGAUGCGUUCAUUAGG
Molecule: ribosomal RNA, 239 nt
Filed under: uncultured bacterium
Lineage: Bacteria
Description: partial 16S ribosomal RNA
Rfam family: Bacterial small subunit ribosomal RNA
Source: RNAcentral